AUUGAACGCUGGCGGCAGGCUUAACACAUGCAAGUCGAGCGGAGAUGAGGUGCUUGCACCUUAUCUUAGCGGCGGACGGGUGAGUAAUGCUUAGGAAUCUGCCUAUUAGUGGGGGACAACAUUCCGAAAGGAAUGCUAAUACCGCAUACGCCCUAUGGGGGAAAGCAGGGGAUCUUCGGACCUUGCGCUAAUAGAUGAGCCUAAGUCGGAUUAGCUAGUUGGUGGGGUAAAGGCCUACCAAGGCGACGAUCUGUAGCGGGUCUGAGAGGACGAUCCGCCACACUGGGACUGAGACACGGCCCAGACUCCUACGGGAGGCAGCAGUGGGGAAUAUUGGACAAUGGGCGGAAGCCGGAUCCAGCCAUGCCGCGUGUGUGAAGAAGGCCUUUUGGUUGUAAAGCACUUUAAGCGAGGAGGAGGCUACCUGGAUUAAUACUCUAGGAUAGUGGACGUUACUCACAGAAUAAGCACCGGCUAACUCUGUGCCAGCCGCCGCGGUAA
Molecule: ribosomal RNA, 501 nt
Filed under: uncultured bacterium
Lineage: Bacteria
Description: partial 16S ribosomal RNA
Rfam family: Bacterial small subunit ribosomal RNA
Source: RNAcentral